GUUUAUCCAAACCAGCUUUUAAUAAUAUAAUCAUAAGCCUCAUAAUUACUAUUAUCCCUGAUUCAAAUCAAAUGGAGACAUUCUCCAACUAAACGAUUGCAGGGCUGCAGUUAAUUCAGUGAGAUGAGAUUUUGUGAUGUGGCAGAACGAGAGCCUGUUCAGACAGAAGAGGAUGUGACCCGGGUCAUGCCCUGAUUUUCACAGAGAUAAUGGAUGCCCUGCUGCUGCAGUGUUUUCUCCACGCACUCAAGAAGAAGGUGAAGAAAUCGGAGCUCCCCCUGCUGACCAGCACGUUCCUCCGCAACCACAUGUUCCCCUGCUGCCCGAGUGGAAAGCAGCUUGAUAUCAAGAAGUCCAGCUAUAAAAAGCUGUCCAAGUUUCUACAGGCCAUGCAGAAGCAGCACAACCUCGUGCGAGUGAAGGAACUGACCAAGGGUGUGGAGAGCAUUGUGGAGGUGGACUGGAAAAACCGAGAGCUGCGUUACUUCAAUGUUCCCGAGGAGACGGGUGAUGAAGCGUCCCCGGUGCAGAACGGGGGGGAGGCAGAGCCCCCGUACCAUCCUCCCGAGAUCACCACUCUGUACUCCGUGUCGUCUCGACUAGAGCCGCUCUUCCUGGAUGCCAAGAAGAGGAAAGGAACAAUCCUGCAGCCGGCUGAAGUGAGACAUAUUGUCACAGAGUACGUGAAGGAUAAUGAGCUGGUGGAUGAAAACAAUAAGAAUUACGUGACCAUAAACCCGACGCUGUGCGACUGCUUACUGGAGAAGUCUGAGUACCAGGAGGUGGAGUCUCUGAAGUGGGAUGACCUCUUUAGCAGGGCGCUGGCGAGAAUGCAGGAGUGCUAUGAAGUCGUGUUCCCCGGACAUGCACCCGUAAGAAAGAAGGGCCACAUCGAGCCCAUAGACAUCUCUGUGGCUUCUCGAGGCUCCAAUAAGAAGGUGACUCUAAUAAAGAACCUGGAUGUGUACGGUCUGGAUCCUGCAGCUGUGGCCACUGCUUUGCAGCACAGAGUCCAGGCCAGCUCCAACUUACAGCCCAUACCCGGGUCCAAGGACAAAGUCCUGGUCCAGAUCCAAGGCAAUCAGAUUCACCAAGCCGGCAAUUUGCUGAUAGAUCAUUUUCAAAUUCCUCGCAAGUACAUCCAAGGACUAGACAAAGCUCCAAAAGGUGGAAAGAAGAAGUAACAUUUCACCCGGUUUACUCUUCACUGUCUUUGAAGCUGCUGUAUGUAAACACGACAACAAGCGACUGUCCACCACUCGUGUAAUAAAGGCUUCUGGAAGCCUGUUGUCCUCGUGUGACUGGAGAGACCUGGAUGUGAUCUGUGGCGGUCUGUGAUGGGAACUGGGACUUAGGACAUGAAAUGAUCCAAGUUUAAGAACACUGCACCUGUUGACACUUUACGUAUAUUUACUAUUCUGACAUAACAGACACAGUCUCUGCACAUGCGCAAUAUUUGCGAAAGUAUAUAAUAGGAGACAACAAGCAAAAAACGUUAUUUUAAAAGAUGUACUUUGGACCUUUGAGUAACACAUCUGAGAACCCACUUUUGAUUCGUCACGUUCGACACAGGUGAAAGACACAGGUGAAAGACACAGGUGAAAGUAAUAUGAUUAGUUAUGUCUGAGCUCGUCAGCUGCCUCGGUUUCAGGGUCCUGGUGGAGGUCCUGUUCAAAGCAGUCUUUUUUUGACAUACAUGGCCCCGCUGGGUGAAAACACGUGAUUAAUGAAUUAUGGCCCCAUUCCAUUUAGGUGAGUCAGGCCUCCCGGUGUUGUGGUCUUACACACUAAACAGAUUGGGACCAUAAUUCAUUGUUUUUUAUUAACACCACCUAUGUUGACCCUGCCGUGAUAUGUCGUAAAGGUUGUGUUACGCAUGCGGGCUCACUUUCACACAUUUGAAUAGAGCAGAGCCAUCAUUUAAGUUAUUAAUAGCCUGACUGUGCUGAUCUGUGCUUUUCCUGUUAUAAGUCAAAGGACUGCAGUGAAAAUGAAAGGGAGACUGUCACAGAAGGCGUCAGUGUAUUUGUAACAUGCUGUUACAAUCUCACCUAUUUCACUUAAUAACUUCAACGACAGAUGUUGAUUGUAGAAUCAACCGCAUGCAUUGAAUAGUUGGGCUGCAUGCCGGGAACCAACAAUACAUUCUUGUAACUUUUUUUUAUUGUUUUCAUGUCUAAAAGUAUUAUUUUCAAGGAUGUCAGCACAUUUUUUCUCAGUUGGCGUAGGAUAGAUUGACAGUAAGGGAAAGUAACAGUGUACAGUAUUGCAUCUAUUCUAGCCUUUGGGAAUAUUUUUGUGUUUUACAAAUUUCUCUGCGUGAUUCCGAGUAUUUUAAUAUAUAUAUUGGUUGGCGCAUAUUGUUGUUUGACGAUGUUAAGACGAUGAGCUGUAGUUGGUUAGUGCUCUCUGUGGAGGAAUGUCGU
Molecule: RNA transcript, 2426 nt
Organism: Anarrhichthys ocellatus (wolf-eel)
Lineage: Eukaryota; Metazoa; Chordata; Actinopteri; Perciformes; Anarhichadidae
Gene: eif2d
Gene name: eukaryotic translation initiation factor 2D
Exons: 10
Source: RefSeq, a predicted model, not a curated record